This 465-nucleotide ribosomal RNA is filed under the name uncultured bacterium. RNAcentral's name for it is "partial 16S ribosomal RNA". It matches the Rfam family "Bacterial small subunit ribosomal RNA", at positions 338 to 795 of the family's 1533-position model. The record is from RNAcentral.
CCUACGGGAGGCAGCAGUGGGGAAUAUUGCGCAAUGGGCGAAAGCCUGACGCAGCGACGCCGCGUGAGGGAUGAAGGUCUUCGGAUCGUAAACCUCUGUCAGCAGGGAAGCAAGGUCACUGUGCUAAUCAGCAGUGAAUUGACGGUACCUGCAAAGGAAGCACCGGCUAACUCCGUGCCAGCAGCCGCGGUAAUACGGAGGGUGCGAGCGUUAAUCGGAAUUACUGGGGGUAAAGCGCUCGUAGGCGGUAUGUCAAGGCAAGGGGGAAAUCCCCGCGCGCAACGUGGGAACUGCCGUUGAAACUGGCAAACUUGAGUGGGUGAGAGGAUAGUGGAAUGCCAGGUGUAGGAGUGAAAUCCGUAGAUAUCUGGAGGAACAUCAGUUGCGAAGGCGACUAUCUGGCACAUAACUGACGCUGAGGAGCGAAAGCGUGGGUAGCAAACAGGAUUAGAUACCCGGGUAGUC